RNAcentral lists this ribosomal RNA (205 nucleotides) under uncultured bacterium. Its description in RNAcentral is "partial 16S ribosomal RNA". It matches the Rfam family "Bacterial small subunit ribosomal RNA", at positions 289 to 524 of the family's 1533-position model. The record is from RNAcentral.
ACUCCUACGGGAGGCAGCAGCCGCGGUAAUACUCCUACGGGAGGCAGCAGUGGGGAAUAUUGCACAAUGGGGGAAACCCUGAUGCAGCAACGCCGCGUGAAGGAAGAAGGCCUUCGGGUCGUAAACUUCUGUCCUUGGGGAAGAAACAAAUGACGGUACCCUUGGAGGAAGCCCCGGCUAACUACGUGCCAGCAGCCGCGGUAAU